AGAACGAACGCUGGCGGCAUGCCUAACACAUGCAAGUCGAACGAGACCUUCGGGUCUAGUGGCGCACGGGUGCGUAACGCGUGGGAAUCUGCCCUUGGGUUCGGGAUAACAGUUGGAAACGACUGCUAAUACCGGAUGAUGUCUUCGGACCAAAGAUUUAUCGCCCAGGGAUGAGCCCGCGUAGGAUUAGCUUGUUGGUGAGGUAAGAGCUCACCAAGGCGACGAUCCUUAGCUGGUCUGAGAGGAUGAUCAGCCACACUGGGACUGAGACACGGCCCAGACUCCGUACGGGAGGCAGCAGGUGGGGAAUAGUUGGAACAAGU
RNAcentral lists this ribosomal RNA (323 nucleotides) under uncultured soil bacterium. RNAcentral's name for it is "bacterial SSU rRNA". It matches the Rfam family "Bacterial small subunit ribosomal RNA", at positions 26 to 375 of the family's 1533-position model. The record is from RNAcentral.